Molecule: long non-coding RNA, 688 nt
Filed under: Vulpes vulpes (red fox)
Lineage: Eukaryota; Metazoa; Chordata; Mammalia; Carnivora; Canidae
Description: lncRNA (ENSVVUG00000015426.1)
Source: RNAcentral
CUGGAAUCCUGGAACUCCACACAAAGGCACCUGUUGUCCUGACAACCCCUGAGGCGUAGGGGAGAAGCAGUGGGGAGGCCCUUCCAUUUUUCUAUCAUGUGUCUGUCAGGAGGGGAACAAGAUUACGAAAUUGUGAGCAAAUACACAUCAUCAUGCUGCUCUGCCCAGCUCCUCCCUUGCCUUUCCGGUACUUGUGGUGCAGUCUUCUUUUUGGCCCCUCUGGACAAUCCUUCAACAUUCAGUAAUAGAUUUCCAAGUAGUGCAUUUAUAUUCCUAACCAGCAUCUCAGCUUGACUGGGAAAUGAAGAAAUCAGGUACAACCAGCACAAUUAACUGUGCAAAAAGUUUUUGCGCAGUCUUCCUUACAGAACAGCAUUUGUUUUCUGUACAGUGUUGAUUUCAUAGCACUCCCUUAAAGGCAUCCUUGCUGCUCAUGGAGUUCUUCCUGCUGUUCCUCUUCAGGAUUCCAUUUUGAUUCUAUCCACGGAGAGAAGUCUUGCAUCUAAAGAUACAAAAACAAACAAACAAACAAAAUCCUCUCUCUAUUCCAACAUGGCCUUGAUUUAAGAUAUGAAGAGCAAUUUGCAGGGCACAUGCUCCUGAGCUUGGAGAGUCUGUACACUCCCAUGCUCUGUUGGUAGGUCUGUUAACCAAUAAAACUAUUUUGCAAAGGAAUUGUGAAAACCUC